This 253-nucleotide ribosomal RNA is filed under the name uncultured bacterium. Its description in RNAcentral is "partial 16S ribosomal RNA". It matches the Rfam family "Bacterial small subunit ribosomal RNA", at positions 524 to 776 of the family's 1533-position model. The record is from RNAcentral.
UACGUAGGUGGCAAGCGUUAUCCGGAAUUAUUGGGCGUAAAGCGCGCGCAGGCGGUUUCUUAAGUCUGAUGUGAAAGCCCACGGCUCAACCGUGGAGGGUCAUUGGAAACUGGGGAACUUGAGUGCAGAAGAGAAAAGCGGAAUUCCACGUGUAGCGGUGAAAUGCGUAGAGAUGUGGAGGAACACCAGUGGCGAAGGCGGCAUCCUGGACCGGUAUUGACGCUGAUGCGCGAAAGCCAGGGGAGCAAACGGG